UUGCUUCAGCAGCACAUAAACUAAAACUGGAACGAUACAGAGGUUAGCAUGGCCCUUGCACAAUAAUGACAUGUAAAUUGGUGCAGCAUUCCAUAAUUUU
This 100-nucleotide small nuclear RNA is filed under the name Naja naja (Indian cobra). Lineage: Eukaryota; Metazoa; Chordata; Lepidosauria; Squamata; Elapidae. The record is from RNAcentral.